Molecule: long non-coding RNA, 509 nt
Filed under: Elaeis guineensis (African oil palm)
Lineage: Eukaryota; Viridiplantae; Streptophyta; Magnoliopsida; Arecales; Arecaceae
Description: long non-coding RNA (EGUI_LNC070720)
Source: RNAcentral
GGUUGAAAAAAAAAAUUGUGAUGGGCCAAGCCCAGGCAGCCAGGCCUAUCCAAUGAACAAACUUGUUUUGGAAGCUUGAACGGGCUUGCGGAGCGUACAGCAUUGGCCCAAACCUGCCCAACCAGGUGGCCCAUGAACAAAUAUAGACGGUAUAAAUAUUUUAUAUUAAUUUUUGAAUAUAAAAAUAAUAAUUAGAUGAUAGAGAUCUGAUGAGUUUAAUUGUGCCUCUAACCACAGCCGCACCCCAAGUUCGAGCAUUGCACAGGAAAUCCUUGCCCUUGUUGCUAUGAAUUUGGCGCAUGCAUGAUAGCGAGAUAUUGGUGGCUUACCCUCCAACCAUAAGAAUGACAUCCUCGUAUUUCUGAAUAUAAAGAUUAUAUAGUGCUACACCAUAAAAUUGAAGUUAGGGGGUUGCUGAAGCGGGUGGAAGCUCAUCCGAUACUCUAUAAUAUCUGAAAGUCUCUUGAUUAUUUUUUUACGAUAAUUAUUCGACUUAUUUAUCGAGAGGC